Molecule: ribosomal RNA, 459 nt
Filed under: uncultured bacterium
Lineage: Bacteria
Description: partial 16S ribosomal RNA
Rfam family: Bacterial small subunit ribosomal RNA
Source: RNAcentral
CCUACGGGAGGCAGCAGUGAGGAAUAUUGGUCAAUGGCCGGAAGGCUGAACCAGCCAAGCCGCGUGAAGGACGAAGGUGCCAAGCAUUGUAAACUUCUUUUGUCAAGGGACAAAAUCAGGCUCGAGAGCCUGACCGCGGGUACUUUAAGAAACAGCAUCGGCUAACUCCGUGCCAGCAGCCGCGGUAAUACGGGGGAUGCGAGCGUUAUCCGGAUUUAUUUGGUUUAACGGGUGCGUAGGCGGACUGUUAAGUCAGCGGUAAAAGCCCGGGGCUCAACCCCGGCGAGCCGUUGAAACUGGCUGGCUUGAGAUGUCGAGAGGUAUGCGGAAUGCGCAGUGUAGCGGUGAAAUGCGUAGAUAUUGCGCAGAACUCCGAGUGCGAAGGCAGCAUACCGGCGGCGAUCUGACGCUGAGGCACGAAAGCGUGGGUAUCGAACAGGAUUAGAUACCCUUGUAGUC